This is a small nucleolar RNA of Gastrolobium bilobum, 143 nucleotides long. RefSeq annotates it as small nucleolar RNA snoR136. The transcript has a single exon. NCBI's taxonomy places the organism in Eukaryota, Viridiplantae, Streptophyta, Magnoliopsida, Fabales, Fabaceae. The record is from RefSeq and is a predicted model, not a curated record.
AAGGCUUCAGAUUUCUAUAAGAUAUUUGCCUGCACCUUUUUCAGUGUGUUCAGCAAUGUAUAAUUGAAGCCGACAAGUGUGUUCCCCUCGCUAUCCAGUGCUUCAAUUUUGAUGUUGCAUUUGGACGUCGGGGAACAAAAUCU